Molecule: non-coding RNA, 82 nt
Organism: Sclerotinia sclerotiorum 1980 UF-70
Lineage: Eukaryota; Fungi; Ascomycota; Leotiomycetes; Helotiales; Sclerotiniaceae
Source: the annotation of a RefSeq genome assembly
GGGCUUGUGGUUUAGUGGUAUAAUGUUCCCUUAGCAUUAACUUUCCUGGGAGAGGUCCGGCGUUCGAUUCGCCGCUAGUCCA